Molecule: long non-coding RNA, 932 nt
Filed under: Homo sapiens (human)
Lineage: Eukaryota; Metazoa; Chordata; Mammalia; Primates; Hominidae
Description: HSALNT0136637
Source: RNAcentral
ACAUGAAGCUCAUUCUGCUUGCUGCAUCACAAGUAAUAAAGUCUUUUAUCUCUGAUCCUGGAUUCCUGUUUUAACUGUGGCAAGCUAACUUGUCAGCUUGUAGUAGGGCAAAAUCUCAGCCCCUUCACAGUUCUUGACCCUAGAGGACAGAAAAAACCCAUAGUGUGACUGGAGAGAAUGUGAAUUUACCCAAAUGAUGGUGCUAAAACAGGCAGGUCUGUGAAGCCAGAUCUUCAGCUGCCAGUUUAUUUUAACCUCAGUGAGGGAGAGAAAUGAAAACAUAUCUAACAUGCUUCACAACCCAUGCUAGAAAUAAAUUAGAAUGUUUUUAAAUUUUAUGUAUGAUGUUACUCAAAUCAUGAAGACAAAUCCAGAGGCAAGUCAAUUGGUGAUAGCAAUUGAUGCUAAGUUACUUUUCAAGGAUCUGAUCUUUGCCAAUGUGUUCUUACUUGCAAAACCUUGAAAAUUUGGCUAAAUAAUCAGUACUAAAUGAUUCUUAAAUGUGGCAGCAUAGUCUUUAAAUAUGAGGACGCUACGGGGGACUGAAACAACACAACUUCCGUGAAUUGACUAGAUUAACAGAUUUUGGGUUAUAAUAUUGGCAUUUAUAGCUAAGACAAAUUUAUUCUGUCUUUGCUGAAAGGGGAAUAAAAAUAUUUACCUAGCCAUCUUAGCAUUCUUCCUUUUACAAAAAUGUUUAUACAUUUCAUAGCAAAACAAUUUUGAUAAUGUAUUUAUUCACCUCCUGACCUUGUCUUCUAGUUAUUUAAAUAAACUUUUUGAAAAAAAUGAAUGAAUUUUACAUUAUAAACCUGAACGUUCUCUCUCAAAAUAUGGAAUUAUGUAAGCCAGACUGAACAUUCUACUUGUGAAAAUGAUGAAUAGAAAAUGUAUGAUUGUAUGUGGAGAAGCAUGAUAGUAAAUUGAGCCUC